Molecule: transfer RNA, 74 nt
Filed under: Chitinophagaceae bacterium
Lineage: Bacteria; Pseudomonadati; Bacteroidota; Chitinophagia; Chitinophagales; Chitinophagaceae
Description: tRNA-Asn
Rfam family: tRNA
About the family: Transfer RNA (tRNA) molecules are approximately 80 nucleotides in length. Their secondary structure includes four short double-helical elements and three loops (D, anti-codon, and T loops).
Source: RNAcentral
UCCUGCUUAGCUCAGUUGGUUAGAGCAUCUGACUGUUUAUCAGAGGGUCGUAGGUUCAAGUCCUACAGCAGGAG